AACGAACGCUGGCGGCAUGCCUAACACAUGCAAGUCGAACGAGACCUUCGGGUCUAGUGGCGCACGGGUGCGUAACGCGUGGGAACCUGCCCUUAGGUUCGGAAUAACUGCCCGAAAGGGGUGCUAAUACCGGAUAAUGUCUUCGGACCAAAGAUUUAUCGCCCUUGGAUGGGCCCGAGUUGGAUUAGCUAGUUGGUAGGGUAAAAGCCUACCAAGGCGACGAUCCAUAGCUGGUCUGAGAGGAUGAUCAGCCACACUGGGACUGGGACACGGCCCAGACUCCUACGGGAGGCAGCAGUGGGGAAUAUUGGACAAUGGGCGAAAGCCUGAUCCAGCUAUGCCGCGUGAGUGAUGAAGGCCUUAGGGUUGUAAAGCUCUUUUACCCGGGAUGAUAAUGACAGUACCGGGAGAAUAAGCUCCGGCUAACUCCGUG
Molecule: ribosomal RNA, 433 nt
Filed under: uncultured bacterium
Lineage: Bacteria
Description: partial 16S ribosomal RNA
Rfam family: Bacterial small subunit ribosomal RNA
Source: RNAcentral